RNAcentral lists this long non-coding RNA (2106 nucleotides) under Homo sapiens (human). RNAcentral's name for it is "HSALNT0289572". Lineage: Eukaryota; Metazoa; Chordata; Mammalia; Primates; Hominidae. The record is from RNAcentral.
GGGUCUUCGCCGACACCAUAGAGGUGGGCCGUUGGCGACGUUAGAGGCGCGGGUGUUCGGCUACAUCACUGGGGCGCCAUGGUGCCUGGAGCUGGGCAGUUUUCUCAUCAGAGUGGGGACUGGUAAGAGUGACCUCCCCGCCAGGUUCUGUGUGUUGCCGGCUGAAGAAGGGUAGCUGAAAAAUUCAGACCCAGCACAGUGUUUAUGUUGGUCAAAAAUAGAAAACUAUGUCUGGCGCGGCCGAGGCGGGAGGACCCUUCAGGCCAAGAGCAGCCUAGCAACAUGGCGCAACCCCAUCUCUGUAGUCCUACCUCAGCCCCCCAGCUACUUGAACCCAAAGGUUCAAGGCUCCAGUGAGCUAUGAUCCCACCACAGCAUUCCAGCCUGCGAGAUUGAGAUGAUGAUUAUUCCCCACCUUCUAAGAGACAAAGACCAACGAGCCACCACAGCCACCAGUCCCAGAACCCGCCAAUGCUGGGGAACGGAAAAUGAGGGAGUUCAACUCUGGCCCUCACAAUCCAGUGGAGGAGACGCAACUCAUCUGCCUCUGUCCCUCUGGGCACGCCUCAUGCCAGGUGCAUCUGUGGACAGGGGCCAUGCUCCUGGGCUUCCAAAGUUGGAGAAAGCUGCCAGGCUCAGGUCUGAAGGCCAGAAUUCUACAGUAAGUCCUACUGAGUCAAGGUGGGAGCAGGGUCGGUAGCUUCCGAGGCUCUGCGGGAGAAUCUGUUUCCUGGCCGUAGAGGUGGCCUGCACUCCUCAGCCUGUGCUGCCCGUCUCGAAUGACUGGAGUUUCCUGCUUCUGUCACUACACCUCCCACCCUCUCCAUCACCUGCUCUGCUCUUACAAGGAUCCGAAGAAAUGGAAUCAUCGUAUCGCUGAUCUACGUAAACAAACUGAAGAAUUGUCUGAAAGAAAAUAUGACAUGAACUUAUGAAUUCAACAGGUGAAGAUUUACAACUUGAUAAAUCAACUUUGUCAGCUCGAGCUGUAAAAGCCAAAGUGGAGAUGCGGUUUCACCAUGUUGGCCGGGCCAGUCUCGAACUCCUGACGUCAAGUGAUCUUCCCGCCUCGACUCCUGAUAUCAAGUGAUCUUCCCGCCUCGGCCUCCCAGAGUGCUGAGAUUACAGACGUGAACCCAUGCCUGGCCAGGAAUUUUGUUUUUUAGGAAGGCUUUCUACUAAUGGAAUUCCUGGCCUUGAGAGGAUGUUACUUUAGAAGGAAAGGAUUUUUUUGUUAUUAAAAGGUUCAAGCAAUUCUCCUGCCUCAGCCUCCUUAGUAGCUGGAUUUACAGGCAUGCGCCACCAUGCCUGGCUAAUUUUUUGUAUUUUUAGUAGAGAUGGUGUUUCACCAUGUUGACCAGGCUGGUCUAGAACUCCUGACCUUGGGUGAUCCACCCGCCUCGGCCUCCCAAAGUGCUGGGAUUACAGGCAUGAGCCACUGCGCCCAGCCUGGGCCUGCUUCUUUCUCUUUUUCUUUUUUUUUCAUUAGCAGCUUAAAAUUGGUGCCUUAUUCAGACACAAGCAAAAGGACAUUAGCCCAGCUUUGGAAAUAGGUGAGAGCCCAUAUAUGAUUUUCCUAGUUUCUCCUCCCCCUUUGCUUUUUGCUCUCUUGUUAGUAUAUUAAUUGUUUUCACUCUCUGAAUCUUUUUUCCCCAUUUCUUUGGCAGACAUUUUUACUUGUCUUGGAAGAGUAGGUGAAGAGCUGUUUUUAGGACUCUUUGAAAGGGUACAGUAUGGGUGACAGUCUUGGCUAAUGGUAACAUCCAGGGAGCUGGGGUCAGCGUGAGCUGGAAUCAGUUCAAAUUAGCAAAGCACUGGCACUCAGUGGCAGGAAUACAAGUGACUGCAAAGUGUUAAACACAUCUGGAAAGGGAUACUGACAUCAUCCUCAGAAUCUGUGGGGAGUUCACAUAGCCAGUUAAGACCCAUUCUUCUUUGACCCUGUAAAGAUUCUUUAAAGAAUAAAUACCCUUAGUGGUUUUCUAGCCAGCUUGCCUGCUCAUUUAUCUUUGAGGACGACAUGCCUUGUGGAGCUCCACAGGCCCCAGAGGGGUAUGGAUUCUGCAUUUAAAAGUGCUGAAGCUGAGAGACUGGGUCUUGGUGGAC